CUCCUCCUCCUCCUGCUGCUGCUGCUGGGGCUCGGCUCUGGCUCGAUGGCGGCGCCCCGAGAUCCCUGCGGCCGGGGCCGGCUGUGGCUGUCGUCAGAUCCCCGUCUGGCCAGGGUUGAGCCCAGGGCUCUGUGCAUGCUGGGUGAGUACUUUACCACUGAGCCACAUCUCCAGCCUCUCAUUGAGAUUUGCAAAAUAAUACUGUGGGUGCAAAGGUGGCCACCGCCACAGCCCUUCUGCAAACUGCUCUGGGGAGUCAGGUGGUGACUCACUACUAACCGGGGCUGCAGGUGCUGGCUUUCCCACUCUCUGUCUGCAUUAUCAUGGGCCACUCACUUGUGUUCUUCCAACACAUUUUCUCAGCGGUGAAAGGGGGGGUGCAGAGUGCACUCUUAGAGUUUUCAUCUAAUGAGCAUCGAAUGCAGUGUUUGUGAAGUGAUUAGCCACUUGGCACAGGGGAGGAGCUCGAUAAAUUAGCUAUUGUUAUAAUGAUUAAUGUUAAAAUAUCUUCCCUCUUUAUUGUUUCACAGGUAGGCAUGCCAACUCCUGAGCUGAUUCGUGGGUCACCUAGAAAAGAAAUCCAAUAAUAAUAACAACAUUAAUUGCAGCUGUCACAUAUUGAACACAGACAAAGUGCCAGACACUGUGCUAAAUGCCUGACAUGCAAAAUCUAUUGACUCCAAUCCAUAUAACAACCUUAUAAAGCAAGGUAUUAUUACUUGCAUUUGCUAUGUAAAGAAGCUCAGAUUGGAGGGUUUGUCAGUGGUUUUCAAACUUGAGUGCACAAGAAGCUGAGUUCUCUCCCAGAAUUUCUGACUCAGUAGGUCUGGGCUGGGGCCCCAGGAUUUCCAUUUUCACAAGUCCCCAGGUGCUGCUACUGCUGACCUGAGGGCCACGUGGGAGAAACAUCAAUUCAAGUUGGCACAAUGAGUAAGUGAGAGAAUGAGUUUCCAAAAUUAAAAAUCUGACUUGGAAAUAUACUCUUAGAAAUCUAUAUUCCUUCAAAUUUUCUAACAUUAAACUUUUGAAUUAAUAGCUGGUUGCUGCAUUCACAAAGCACAGUAGCUUGGAUGGCUGCUUAUUUGUAUUAAAUGUUCUUUUCCAUGAAGUUCUUCAUGGCACAAAACAGUUGGUGAUACCUUCAAAGGGGAGGAUUUCAGGGACAUUUGCAGAAGGAGCAUAAAGUGCUUAAGUCACCUCUACUUGGCCAUGCUUGAGAUCAGCAGCCCUGAUGGCGUAAAGGAUUUGCUAGGGCUGUGACCCACUUCCAGCUGCAAGAUUCAUCAGAGCUUCCAAGAUGGAGCCCAGCUGAGCAAGCCACACCUGGCUACCAUCUGUGCCUGAGAGGCAUGGUGUUACCUGGGUUCCCAACCAGGAAGAGCUCUCAACAAGUACCCAACUUGGGCAUCAGAGGGCUCUGGAUCCAUUGAAUAUUGCUCAGGUGAGCCAUUGCAUCUAGUCAGCCUGGGGGACCACUGGAGCAAGCUGCCAUUGGUAUGAAAACUGGGAUAUGUUUGGGUUCACAUUGGAUGGUUUGGGACUGCAGGAGAGGAGCUUUCCAGAAGCAUGUGGUGAGAAAUAUGAAAGGAGACUGAGGACAUAGGGAUAGAGCUACAAUAAAAGCUGAAAGUCCCUUAGUGCAUACCAGUACUCUCGCAAAAGGUCAUUGGCACCUUUAUUUGGUUGUGAAUGCAAAGAACUGGCAUCCAAAUAUGUAAGCAAAGUGCACAUCAAGAAAUGUAAAUACUCAGGGAAAAGAGCUAAACUGAGGAAAACAGUGAGUGCCAUGGACAGUGAGAGAAGCUGGCCGAUGGGCGACUGCAGUGAUGCAGGAUGGAGGGACAGGGUACACACUGGAUUUGCUCUCAAGAGCCUCAGGUCCCAGUGCUAACUCUAUAGAUUGAAUUGGUUGAUUUUUGAGGGGCCUUCCUCUUCUAUAUACAUGUAUGUAUUUAUUUGUACCUUCACUCAUUCAUUCAACAUUUUUUUUACUAAGCAUAUAUUAUGAGGCAAAUACUUUUAUAGACACAGGCAGUAAAAGCUCAGACACCAGUUUCUGCUGUCCUGGAGGUUAAUCAUCAACGAGUGAGACAAUAUACAAAAUAAAUUGUAUAGUAUAUUAGGCCAUAAAAAGUUCCAAAGAGAAAAGUCAAAAUGGAAAGAUGAUAUGGAUUAGCAGGUGGUGUGGCUGAAAUAUGGCUUGUCUAUUCCCAACUACAUUUAUCAAGGUUGUUAUGGUUUGGAUCUGAAAUGUUCCUCUAAAGUCUCAUGUGUUCAGAGGUGGGAUUUUGGAAAAUGAUUCAGUCAUGAUCAUUCUAAUUUCAUCAGUGGAUUAAUCCAUUGAUGGAUUCAUAAUGUGAUGGCAUUCCUGGGAGGUGACAGAAACAGGAGGUGGGAACCAGUUGAAGGCAGUGGGUGAUGAGAGUGUUAUGUUGGGAAUUAUAUCUUGGUUCCAGCCCUUUUCCCUCUGACCCUUUCAUUCUCUCUCUGUUUCCUAGCCACCAUGAGUUGAGUAGCUUUCCUCUAUCACACCUUUCCCCCAUGAUAUUUCUGCUGUACCACAGGCCUAAAAGCAAUGGAAGCAACUAACCAUGGACUGAACUUCUGAAACCAUGAGCCAAAACAAAUCUUUGUUCUUAUAAAUUGAUUUUAUCAGGUAUUUUUUCAGAGCAAUAAAAUGAUAAUACAACCAUAAUAAAUACACUUUGGCUACAAAGAAAAGAAAACUAAGUCACACUGAUCUAAGGAUAAAAUGGAAAAAUUUUGGCAGUACAUAACCCAGAAGUCCUGCAGUUGAUAGUUUUAAUAGGCACUGUUACUUUUCCUUUCAGCACUCACUCCAUUGAUGCUUUCUGACAAAGCUCAGAUUUUCUGGGGUAUCUAACUCUUUCUCAUUUGACUUCUCUACCUCUGGGCAAGCAGGCCCUCCCACUAGCUCAUGGCUAAGCCAAUCAGCAGUCUUCGUUCCCCCAUUGAUCACAGUGAUUGGUUCUUGAGAAGACAAAGGUCCAAAAAAGUAGAAUAUCAGAAAUUCCACCUGAGUGCUUUCUUUUGCUGAACGUGAAGGGGCAAAAUCAUUGCUGGCAGCUAUCUUAUAACCAAGAAGAGGAGGAAGCUGCCUUAGAGUGAAGUAAAAAAGAGAUGAAGAGUAAAAACAAGAACAAAAAUUAAAACCCAAGAUCUGGAUGACACCAUUGAUCCAGUGAAUAAACAUUCUGGAGUCAAUCUGCCCACGUCUAGACUUAUUGUUAAAUGAGUCAAAAACAAUUUUCCUUAUGACUUAGAGGCAUUGAGUUGGGCUUUCUGUUAUUUUAAAUAGGAGGAUAAAAUAUCUAGCUCAGUCACAGUUAUAACCAGAUGCUCGCUCAUCAUGGGCCUCUACUUUUCUUCAUGUGGGCUUCACUCAGCCUGGCUUACCCACAGUGUCCACGGGCAGCCUCGUCCCCAGCAGCAAUGCCAGGCCUUCAGACCUCCUGGCUGUGUUACUCUGGGUCUGUAUCAGUCUUUGAACCAAGCACUGAGGUUGGGGAAUGGAAAACCACCAAUCUGGGAUGGAUGCCCUCUCCUGGGACCAGGGCUGCAGCCUAAUGCAUUUACAUCACAAUGUUUGAGAAAGUUGAUUCUUCAUAUUAGGGAAUUGUUACUAGAAACUUGGGACAUGGAUGUUGGACCAUCAGAAAGCAUGAAGAUUUGCCGUAAUAUUUAAUUUUCUAUUUGGACAUCUUACAUGUCCCACUACAAAAGGAAAAGUUAAGGUGAAGUGAUUGCUCCCAACAGUUUUAUCACCAAAGACCACCUCUCUUGCCAUUCCCUGUUGCCCACUGCUGCCACCAAAUUAAACUAACUUAGAAAUAUUUUGUCUGUAAUUCACCUAUGCACCCAUCACUACUUUCACGCACUAGUUGUGGAGUAUCCAUUAGCUUCCAGUCUUGUUCUGUUCCAUGAGAGCACAGCAAUGACAAAUGUUGGAAGAAAUGUGAUCACUCUGAUCAAUGACAAAAGAAUUCAGGAGUUUGCUGGAGGUUUUCAUUCAGUGUUAAAAAGCUGUAGCUGUAGUAGAAAACCCUUCAUGCUCAUGGUCUUUCUAUUCUGCUUGGAAAGUAGGUAUGAGAAUGGGAUGUCUGGAGCAGAGGCAGAAGAUGUGAAGCCAGGAAGUGACGUGGAUGAGGAGGAAUUGGCAGGUUGAGCCUAGUGGGACAAAAAGAACAGUGAAGGUCUGGAGCCAUGAUGGUCAGCACAAACUCUAGGUCAGUGGGGAACCUAGACUCAUACUCACCCACGUUUCUCAUUAGGUGACAGAGCCUAGGUCUUCAUUGCUCAAGGCACAGCAAGAGUAUUCUGUCACAAAGAGUCAAAUGCUUUCCUGAUUGCUACAGUCAGAUCCAGGAGAGGUCCCUGAGCAGCUUGUGAUCUGAAGUUCUGUAGUGAACUGAUAAUUACGAACAUCACCAGCGUCCAUCCUGAAAAGAAAGCACUGGAGCUUAUAUCAGGGGACCUAAUCAUUCAAAGAAACUACAGGUAUGCAACAAGCAAUAAUAUUUCUUUAGUAGUUUAGAGAAUUAGGUGAGAGAUCCACAUAGUAAAUAUUUUCCUGUUGCAGCCCAUAUUGGCCUCUGUUGCAUCUACCCAGCUCUGCUGGUGCAGUGGAAAAGAAGACAUAGACCAUAUGUAAAUGAACAGGCAUGGUAGUGUUCCAAUAAAACUUUAUUUACAAAAACAGGCAGUUGGCUGGAUUGGCCAGUAGUUUGCUGACUCCCAAAUUAGCCACUCACAAUUGAGUGUGCAAUAAAGACAGCAAUGAAGGAGACUGUGUGCCCCUUAUUAAAACACAGAAAACCAGUCAUAGUCCUGCACUGCGAAUUUUCCAAUGCCAGGUCCUUACGUGCACACACUCUGUAACUCCCUGAUGCAUCUAUCUCCUGCCUUCCUGUUCUCCCACAGCUAUGGAGGAUGAGAUGGGUCAGGUAGGCAUAGAAGCACUAAUGGGAGCAGUUGGGAAAGUAUAGAGCAGCCCUCUCUGAUGAAAACAACACACCAUGGUAAUGUGAAUCAGGCAAAGAUACAAAACCAGCCCUGGAUGAUUUUUGCUAGAAUUUUUGUGACCCACGUACACUGCGUUUGUCAUCAGCUCAAAGACAGCAGUUGUGGUUAGAAGAAAUCUUCAAACCACGUAAUGUGUGCUGCACUGUGAUUUAUAGGGGGUGUGAUUUAUAUUGUGAAUUUUAAACCUUUUAAUAUACCUCACAAGAAGUUGUACAGUUCAUAAAACAUCACAAGAGGCUUCCAAAGAGAAACCCAAAUGAAGAAAAGAUACAUUUUGCCAUCUGAGUUUUGAAUGGAGCUUCUGCACAGUGCUGAAGCCUGAGCUGAUCAGGUUUGCUUAAUCCUACCUUUCCCUGACAAGAUGAAUAGUUGUAGAACAUAGCACCCUUUUCCGUAUCUCACACCAUGGAUCUAUUAGUAUUGCUAUUUAUUGGAAAGAGGAGAGAGUGCUAAUUUAUACAUACAUUUGUUUUGUAAAAAUUCUACUCCUAUUCUCUGAUUGGUCCAAAUCCCCCAGAAUAUUACGUUUCUGUGAUCUGUAAUGUGGCUGGAAGGGGAAAUGCUAAGUCGUUUAAGAAUUUCAAAUUCCUAUACUGCCACUUGUAGUGAACUGUGUCAUUUACAGAGCCAUGCAGUUUUCCCCCUGCCCAAAAUGUCACAAAAAGAAAAGUGAUUCACAGCAGUUUACACAUGCCAAACACAUUUGUCGAAUAAACAGCACAGAGCAAACUGCAAUUGAAAUACCACCCCGUAAAGAAACACAGUAGUUAAUCUGAUUUUAAUUGAAAUGUUGCAUGUUGAUACCUUUUGUUUAUGCAUGAGACAAAGCUGAUAUAAAGGAGAAUAAUGAUGAUAAUCAUAUUCGAGGCAUUUUGAAGGUUGGGACUUCUGAAGCACUUCAGGAAGAAAAGAAAUACCACAUGUACUCAUGCUAAAGAAAUGUUGCAUUUGGUUUAGAAAAUGCUUCCAAUAUGGUAAUGAAUCAGGUAAAAUUUCCAUUUCAGUGCAGUGCUGAAUUGAGCUACUGUGUGCUUCAGGGAGCUAUGUUUGGGCACUCGAUAAUUAAAUAAAAAGCUGAAUUAUUGGAUAUAAUGGACCCCAAUUGUUUUUGGUGCCUAACUUUUAUUCAUCCUCCUCCUUUAAAUAAUACCAUUUAGAAUUUGCUUAGGGGAAGUUCAUUUUCUACUGUGCUCAACAAUGCCAUUCUCGUGGUAUGGCUCCAUAAUUUCUCAGGGAUGAGCUAAAGCUAAUAACCUCCCACACUCUCCUUCUGGCAACCAGGAUUCGACCCAGGGUGGGUAAAACUAUGUCAGAAGCAAGAUCUGUAGGUGUGCUAGCAUUCUAGGUAAAAAGAAGGGUUUCUUUUUUUCUUGAGAACCGCAUAGGGGGAGCCAUUUCCUCUGAAGUCUAUGUAAUAUGAAGAUAGGAAGAUUUGAGUAGUGUCCUUAUUACCAGAAUGGAAGAGCCUGGAAUUGGCAGUGGGAUCCACUGAGGCUGAAAGAAGCACUAAUACUGUGCAAGACAGAAUAUGAAAAAUAAAGAAAAAGACUGACCUUUGAUGACACUAGUUCCAGGUGUACCUGAUGCCAGUUCUGCCCUUCACCUUUUCAGGGAUACAAGACCAUACAUUCUGUUAUUCUUCAAGCAGUUUGAGUUGAUUUCUAUCAUUUUCAAUGGCAAGAUGUGGAACCCGUCCUUUAGUUUUGUCAAACCGAGGAUUAUAUAUCAAAUAUAUUAAUGUCCUUUCAAUUAGUUAUGCGAGGAAAAUGGGAUGUAUGCAAUGGGAUGUAUGCUAUGGGUUUUGCUUUACUGUUUGGUUUACUGUAUCAUUUUCAGUUGGAAUAAAAGGCAUCCUAGGUUA
This is a non-coding RNA of Heterocephalus glaber (naked mole-rat), 6904 nucleotides long. The record is from RefSeq and is a predicted model, not a curated record. NCBI's taxonomy places the organism in Eukaryota, Metazoa, Chordata, Mammalia, Rodentia, Bathyergidae.